UCCCUGGCAGUCCAGUGGUUAGGAUUCUCUGCCUCUACUGCAGAGGUCACAGGUUCUAACCCUGCUCAGGGAA
RNAcentral lists this transfer RNA (73 nucleotides) under Bos taurus (domestic cattle). It matches the Rfam family "tRNA". From Rfam's summary of the family: Transfer RNA (tRNA) molecules are approximately 80 nucleotides in length. Their secondary structure includes four short double-helical elements and three loops (D, anti-codon, and T loops). Further hydrogen bonds mediate the characteristic L-shaped molecular structure. tRNAs have two regions of fundamental functional importance: the anti-codon, which is responsible for specific mRNA codon recognition, and the 3' end, to which the tRNAs corresponding amino acid is attached (by aminoacyl-tRNA synthetases). tRNAs cope with the degeneracy of the genetic code in two manners: having more than one tRNA (with a specific anti-codon) for a particular amino acid; and 'wobble' base-pairing, i.e. permitting non-standard base-pairing at the 3rd anti-codon position. Lineage: Eukaryota; Metazoa; Chordata; Mammalia; Artiodactyla; Bovidae. The record is from Rfam by way of RNAcentral. RNAcentral also lists the same sequence under 4 other names.